GACGUAGGAGGCGAGCGUUGUCCGGAUUCAUUGGCGUAAAGAGCGCGCAGGCGGCUUGGUAAGUCGGAUGUGAAAUCCCGAGGCUCAACCUCGGGUCUGCAUCCGAUACUGCCCGGCUAGAGGUAGGUAGGGGAGAUCGGAAUCCUGGUGUAGCGGUGAAAUGCGCAGAGUAUCAGGAGGAACACCGGUGGCGAAGGCGGAUCUCUGGGCCUACCUGACGCUCAGGCGCGAAGCUAGGGGAGCGAACUGG
RNAcentral lists this ribosomal RNA (250 nucleotides) under uncultured bacterium. Its description in RNAcentral is "partial 16S ribosomal RNA". It matches the Rfam family "Bacterial small subunit ribosomal RNA", at positions 524 to 776 of the family's 1533-position model. The record is from RNAcentral.